This 85-nucleotide transfer RNA is filed under the name Syntrophorhabdus sp. Its description in RNAcentral is "tRNA-Leu". It matches the Rfam family "tRNA". Rfam says of the family: Transfer RNA (tRNA) molecules are approximately 80 nucleotides in length. Their secondary structure includes four short double-helical elements and three loops (D, anti-codon, and T loops). Further hydrogen bonds mediate the characteristic L-shaped molecular structure. tRNAs have two regions of fundamental functional importance: the anti-codon, which is responsible for specific mRNA codon recognition, and the 3' end, to which the tRNAs corresponding amino acid is attached (by aminoacyl-tRNA synthetases). tRNAs cope with the degeneracy of the genetic code in two manners: having more than one tRNA (with a specific anti-codon) for a particular amino acid; and 'wobble' base-pairing, i.e. permitting non-standard base-pairing at the 3rd anti-codon position. The record is from RNAcentral. Lineage: Bacteria; Pseudomonadati; Thermodesulfobacteriota; Syntrophorhabdia; Syntrophorhabdales; Syntrophorhabdaceae.
GCCUGGGUGGCGGAAUAGGUAGACGCAAGGGACUUAAAAUCCCUCGGGGCUCUGCUCUGUACGGGUUCGAUUCCCGUCCCAGGCA